GGAAGCUGCCUGGAGUCAAGGCUGGGAAUCACCUCCUGGAUUGUCAGAGGCUCAGUGGAAAGAAAAUGGAACAAGGAACACGGGGAAUGUUUUUUAAAGGAACAACGUUGAACUCUACAUUUCCCUUUUACAAGGGUCACCAGUGCAAGUUCAAGAGGAUGAAGAUCUACAGAAAUGAAGCUUGUACAAAUGGGACUAAAAAAAAAAGUUUCAGAUCUCUAGUUUAUACAGUGCGAUCAUUGUAGGCAUUUAGCCACAAGAUAUCAAUAAAGUGGGAGCAUAAAGAGCUCACUAUGUUCCAAGA
Molecule: long non-coding RNA, 304 nt
Organism: Aquila chrysaetos chrysaetos
Lineage: Eukaryota; Metazoa; Chordata; Aves; Accipitriformes; Accipitridae
Exons: 2
Source: RefSeq, a predicted model, not a curated record